UGCCAGACUCCUACGGGAGGCAGCAGUGGGGAAUAUUGCACAAUGGGGGAAACCCUGAUGCAGCAACGCCGCGUGAGUGAAGAAGUCAUUCGUGAUGUAAAGCUCUAUCAGCAGGGAAGAAAAUGACGGUACCUGACUAAGAAGCCCCGGCUAACUACGUGCCAGCAGCCGCGGUAAUACGUAGGGGGCAAGCGUUAUCCGGAUUUACUGGGUGUAAAGGGAGCGCAGGCGGCGCGGUAAGUCUGAUGUGAAAGCCCGGGGCUCAACCCCGGGACUGCAUUGGAAACUGUCGUGCUGGAGUGUCGGAGGGGCAAGUGGAAUUCCUAGUGUAGCGGUGAAAUGCGUAGAUAUUAGGAGGAACACCAGUGGCGAAGGCGGCUUGCUGGACGACAACUGACGCUGAGGCUCGAAAGCGUGGGGAGCAAACAGGAUUAGAUACCCUCGUAA
This 447-nucleotide ribosomal RNA is filed under the name uncultured bacterium. RNAcentral's name for it is "bacterial SSU rRNA". It matches the Rfam family "Bacterial small subunit ribosomal RNA", at positions 329 to 793 of the family's 1533-position model. The record is from RNAcentral.